Molecule: ribosomal RNA, 508 nt
Filed under: uncultured bacterium
Lineage: Bacteria
Description: partial 16S ribosomal RNA
Rfam family: Bacterial small subunit ribosomal RNA
Source: RNAcentral
AUUGAACGCUGGCGGCAUGCCUUACACAUGCAAGUCGAACGGCAGCGGGGGAGAAGCUUGCUUUUCCUGCCGGCGAGUGGCGAACGGGUGAGUAAUACAUCGGAACGUGCCCAGUCGUGGGGGAUAACGUAGCGAAAGUUACGCUAAUACCGCAUACGAUCUACGGAUGAAAGCGGGGGACCGUAAGGCCUCGCGCCAUUGGAGCGGCCGAUGUCAGAUUAGGUAGUUGGUGAGGUAAAGGCUCACCAAGCCGACGAUCUGUAGCUGGUCUGAGAGGACGACCAGCCACACUGGGACUGAGACACGGCCCAGACUCCUACGGGAGGCAGCAGUGGGGAAUUUUGGACAAUGGGCGCAAGCCUGAUCCAGCCAUUCCGCGUGCAGGACGAAGGCCUUCGGGUUGUAAACUGCUUUUGUACGGAACGAAAAGGCUCUGGUUAAUACCUGGGGCUCAUGACGGUACCGUAAGAAUAAGCACCGGCUAACUACGUGCCAGCAGCCGCAGUAA